This is a long non-coding RNA of Canis lupus familiaris (dog), 2238 nucleotides long. RefSeq lists it as uncharacterized. NCBI's taxonomy places the organism in Eukaryota, Metazoa, Chordata, Mammalia, Carnivora, Canidae. The transcript has 4 exons. The record is from RefSeq and is a predicted model, not a curated record.
GGCAUACUUACUACAUUUUUUCUUGUUUAUAUAAUGAAUAAAUAUUUGUUGAAAUACUAGUAUGAGUAUGAGCCUUUCCUAGCUGAUUUGAUGAUGUCAAAUGAGGAAGAAGCAGAUUUGAGGGUUAAGGUACAAGAGAAAAUAUCAAUACUCUAACUUGAGUACGAAUGAAAAUUUAAGUAAAAGUAGAAAGACAUCAUAUUAAAUAGAAGACAUGAGCAAAGGCAAGAAUUGUCUUGAUGGAUAGACAUCAUUUUAACCAAUCCUAAGGCAGGCAUGGGAGGGGAUACACACCAGACAGAACAGUUCAAGCAAUGAAUAGGAUGGGUGAAUGAUGAACAGAUAAUAGGUGAUAACUAGCUAAAAGUAGAGUUAAGAAUAUUUUGAUUAAUGUCAAUCAUUUCAUGUAUUUUAUAAUUUUUAUAAUCACCAGGUCAUUAAAAAAGAUUUAUAAAAUAUUUGUAUACAACUUGUUCAAAGUCAUAAAGCUAUGAUUUGAACCCAGUUCUGAAGGAAUCAAAAUAAAUUUUUUUUCCAUUAUACUGUCUCUUUUGCACUUCAGUUUCUCUUUGACACUAUUUAUUUCAUCAUAUCAAGUAUUAUUUUCCUAAGUUAAUAACAUGGAAACAUAAUAGGAUCAAGCAAUGUUGUUCUCUCUGUGUUGUCUUUUUAAAUUACAGUAUUUACUCCGUUUCUUUCUUUCUUGCCUCUUUCUUUCUCUCUUUCCUCUCUCUGGAGCUUCUUUUUCCUCCUCCCUCUUUCCCUCUCUCCUUUCCUUCCUUCCUUUCUUCCUCCCUUCCUUCCUUUGUUCUUUUGCUUUUUUCCUUUCUUUCAUUAAGCACCAGUUAGGUUUCAGGAACUGUAUACAUGUAGAAGGAGAAUGAGCUGGUAAAGGAAACAUUGGAAUAAUCUGUAGUUUUCAAGCUUAAAAGCUUAGGAGGGAAAAUUAAAACUACAAAAAAAAAACUUGAGUUUCCCUUAUCGUUCUUUUGCAUAUUUUAGCUAAUCUUAGGCUUAACCCUUUAGUUUAGUUUUAUGUCUCUUUAUUGUGUGAUCCUCUUCUUGUCCUAAUGCAAAUUAUGGUUUAUAAAAAUAAUUUCAUCACAGUUCUUUGUGAGCCUACUUUGUUCCUAUCUUAAUUGAAUAUAUUUUAUUCUUAAUUGGGAUUGUUCCUAUUCUUGGCUUUCAGAAAAAAAGAAUAUAUCUAUUGUUUUUAUGUAUCAAAAAAUACUAUUUAAAAUAUCUGGUGGAAGAUGAUAUUUUUUCCUUGUUUUCAUACCUUCUACUUCAGCAAGCUGUUACCUUUUUUUAAAAUAUAUUCAGAAAUAAGCUAAGUUUAGCAGUUCCCUCAUAUUGUUUUAUUCAUCUCCUGAGAAAUAAAAUUUUCAACCAAGUAGAUAAAAAAUAUAUAUACAUGCUCUACUUUUUUUCAGAAUUAACCUUUGUCUUAGCUUCGUCUGCCUGGAAAUACACUCUGAAGGGAGAAUUGCAUUGGGAAGUACUCUCUGGAGAUAUUCUCUUAAGCAAGUGUGAUUCAGGAGUACUUACCAGCAUGUUCUUCUCAAGCAAGCAUCAGAGAAGCCUGAAUGGAGAUAUCUUUAUUUAUGGAUGAGAUUCAAUCAUAGCUAAGAAAUAAGGACAUCAUCAGACUUGACAGCUCCUCUCCUAAUGCACUUGGUUGAAGCCAAUUCAUGGUAAAGUGACAACGAAGCAUUUAAUGGACCUGGGCCUUUUCCUCUCUAUCCCAGGAUGGGAGAAGCUGAGUAUAAAUGACUCUGGAGGUUGAAGUCUGAGACUAGGGCAUUGGUGUGUUUGGUGUCUUCUGAGGCCUCUCUCUUUGGCUUGCAGAUGGCCACCUUCUAGCUAUGUCUUCACAUGGUCAUCCUUCAAUCUGUGUGGUCAGUGUGCUAAUCUCCUAUCUAUAGAGGACACCCAUCAUAGUGGAUUAGUGCUGCCCAUAAAUCACCUCAUUUUACUUUGAUUGCUUCUUUAAAUGUCCUAUCUCCAAAUAUAGUCACAUUCUGAGUUACUGGGGUUUGGGACUUCAACAUAUGAAUUUUGAAACAACACAAUUCAGUCCAGAAUAGAGAAAAAAAAAAGAGGAAAUAAGUAAAGUGUGAAAAUGAGUAAAGGUAAAUGGAAUCAAAGAGAGGCUGAAGGCUAGGGCAUAGAGGUUAAGGUAUAAAAGAAAUUCCUGCAUAGCUAGAACAUAUUAUAUAGGAAACAAAAGCUAAGAAA